This 908-nucleotide ribosomal RNA is filed under the name Boeremia exigua var. exigua. RNAcentral describes it as "LSU rRNA". It matches the Rfam family "Eukaryotic large subunit ribosomal RNA", at positions 23 to 949 of the family's 3401-position model. Lineage: Eukaryota; Fungi; Ascomycota; Dothideomycetes; Pleosporales; Didymellaceae. The record is from RNAcentral.
ACCCGCUGAACUUAAGCAUAUCAAUAAGCGGAGGAAAAGAAACCAACAGGGAUUGCCCUAGUAACGGCGAGUGAAGCGGCAACAGCUCAAAUUUGAAAUCUGGCGUCUUUGGCGUCCGAGUUGUAAUUUGCAGAGGGCGCUUUGGCAUUGGCAGCGGUCCAAGUUCCUUGGAACAGGACGUCACAGAGGGUGAGAAUCCCGUACGUGGUCGCUAGCCUUUACCGUGUAAAGCCCCUUCGACGAGUCGAGUUGUUUGGGAAUGCAGCUCUAAAUGGGAGGUAAAUUUCUUCUAAAGCUAAAUACUGGCCAGAGACCGAUAGCGCACAAGUAGAGUGAUCGAAAGAUGAAAAGCACUUUGGAAAGAGAGUUAAAAAGCACGUGAAAUUGUUGAAAGGGAAGCGCUUGCAGCCAGACUUGCCUGUAGUUGCUCAUCCGGGUUUUUACCCGGUGCACUCUUCUAUAGGCAGGCCAGCAUCAGUUUGGGCGGUUGGAUAAAGGUCUCUGUCACGUACCUCCUCUCGGGGAGAACUUAUAGGGGAGACGUAAUGCAACCAGCCUGGGCUGAGGUCCGCGCAUCUGCUAGGAUGCUGGCGUAAUGGCUGUAAGCGGCCCGUCUUGAAACACGGACCAAGGAGUCUAACAUCUAUGCGAGUGUUUGGGUGUCAAGCCCGAGCGCGUAAUGAAAGUGAACGGAGGUGGGAACCUUUCGGGGUGCACCAUCGACCGAUCCUGAUGUCUUCGGAUGGAUUUGAGUAAGAGCAUAGCUGUUGGGACCCGAAAGAUGGUGAACUAUGCUUGAAUAGGGUGAAGCCAGAGGAAACUCUGGUGGAGGCUCGCAGCGGUUCUGACGUGCAAAUCGAUCGUCAAAUUUGGGCAUAGGGGCGAAAGACUAAUCGAACUAUCUAGUA